UUGGGGUCCCUUCCAGCCCGACCAUUCUGUUUCUGUUAUUCUAUGUCUCUAUGGUUCUCUACUUCUAUGAAAUCAGCACCAGACAGGGCAGCAGCUGGACCAAGGGUGAAGCUCAGUGAGCUCUCACCAUAGCCCUUGUGUCCCCUGUCCCCAUGUCAACCAUGUGCUCAGAUUUCAUCUCACCACACUGUGCCCAACCCUUUAUUAAGACCUGCAUAGCAAUGGGUCACUGCUUCUCCAAAUUAAGGGGCUGCGUGGCUGAACGGGAGAUGAUGACCUGAUUUGUGGAGAUGUGGCACUGAGGAACACGGGGACUGUGCUGCUUCGUAAACAAGUACCAGAUACGCUUUAACUCACUGCAAAAUAACAAUUGACGCUGUGCACAAGAAGAAAAUCCCAAAUUUCAAUUGGUAGAAAGACGAGAUGGCCUCAAAUACGAAAGAUGAGCUACUGAAAAAAAAAAAAAAAGAAGCAAACUCACCAGAAAGCCGUGAUUAAAUUUGUGCAGAAGGUAUGCGGUAGAGAAGGGGAACAUAUGGAGGUUCCUCAGUCUCCAUGGCACAGGGAUGGAGCUCACUGGGUGCAUCACCACCAGCUCGAGCAGAGCCAGGGCUAUGGCACAGCACAUGCAAAUCUCACCGACGUGCUUGUCCCGAUGAGUCCGAGAAGAGCUUUUUCACUAAAGCUGUGUUGUAACACGUUCACGCUUCUUUCACAUGCAUUUAGAUGCCUUGUACCACAAGUAUCAGAUUCAUUAAAUUCACCGAGUGCAGUUGCUUUUCCCUUCUUGGCUUGCAGUAUCUCAAAGUUGAACCUGUUAACCUAACACUGAAGGAGAAAAACUGUGCUUAAGAAAAAAAUUGUUUUUCAGCUCUAGAGGUCUGUUUUGAUGAUGUCCCUGGUGUACAA
Long non-coding RNA from Numida meleagris (helmeted guineafowl), 909 nucleotides. RefSeq lists it as uncharacterized. The transcript has 3 exons. NCBI's taxonomy places the organism in Eukaryota, Metazoa, Chordata, Aves, Galliformes, Numididae. The record is from RefSeq and is a predicted model, not a curated record.